UUUCUUGUUGGAAUAUUUAAAACAUGUUUUAUCUCUGAGCAAUAUUUACAUAAUAAGCAUUGUUUAUGGACGUUGGCCUUAUACUCAUCCUAAGUGAUGAGUUGGCGUGAGCACUGCUCCACUGAGCAGUGAGCGGGUACCACAAUGGAGAAAAAGAUCAGCAAUGGACUCCACAUCCUCAGCACGACCAGGCGGCACAGGUGCAACGGGCAACACUGGCCCACCGCAUAGAAAGCAGCAACCAAGUAGCCACGAACUAUCACAUCCUGCAUGGAUUGGCAUGUAUCCUCUCCUGAUGUCGUGUAACUGCAGAGACUCAAAACCAAAUAUCCCUCUACAGAAGGAUUUUUCUGCUCUCACUGGAUUGUCUCCUCAUUGGACCUAAGAACACUCAGCCAUAAAUAUGCUUGAAACAACUGAUCAUACAUCUUUACCUGGACACCUAAUGCCACACACCCUUAAGGAAGACUUUACGGAUUGGAGCAUGAGCACUUUAAAGUGAUUCAAAAUUAUGGAGGAGCUAUAAAGUUUAUAAAGUGCUUCAAUGCGUUACCAAUCAGAGCAGUAGUGGAACCAUUCCGAGGAGCUUGUAAUACCAUGCAUAGCCUGCUCAUCAUCAGCCCAGGUGUCACUCCUGGGCACGUGGGGCUUCCAGCAUUCCUGCCCAGAGACUCUCCAUCACGAAAAGCAGAGGAGCCACUGCUGAGGAGCCGGGAGAGUUUCGGCAGUGCUGGGAAGCUAAACAGCAGGCUUCCCGGAAGGGACUGCAAAAUGUCUGUGUGAAGUGAAUUCAAGGUGAGUAUUCUUAUUGGUGCACAGUUUCAUUUUUGAUUCUUGCAUAGGAUGAGUCUGAAAAGUCCACACAAGAAUUUAUGUUUUAUUCCCAGAGUCCCCGCAGGCCCAACUGGCACCUGGGUCUGCACUGAAUAUGCACAGAGCUGUGCCAGGAGGCCAGAGCAGUGUGGGAGCAUUGGCACUGCCCACAUUUAGACCAGGGUUCCUGCCAUGGCCUUGGCAUGAGCACAGGUGAAGGAGGAGGAGGUGGGGCUGGCU
Molecule: long non-coding RNA, 1053 nt
Organism: Ochotona princeps (American pika)
Lineage: Eukaryota; Metazoa; Chordata; Mammalia; Lagomorpha; Ochotonidae
Exons: 3
Source: RefSeq, a predicted model, not a curated record